Long non-coding RNA from Cottoperca gobio, 1809 nucleotides. RefSeq lists it as uncharacterized. Lineage: Eukaryota; Metazoa; Chordata; Actinopteri; Perciformes; Bovichtidae. The transcript is spliced from 8 exons. The record is from RefSeq and is a predicted model, not a curated record.
UAUAAAAGUAUAGGGCACAGUUGGAAUGAGCCAGAUGGGAUGCUAUCGGUCAUUUAAAAGACUAACGCGCUUUUUGUCUCCGUCUGGAAAUGUCGCUUCUGCCUGACCUUGUGAACUUGCCUGCCGCGUGAUCUCAACAAUUCCCUCUUACAGCUCCCCGAACACCCCUCCACAUCGUUGUGCUCAUUUGUACAGGCUAUUACCGAAGCAGGAAGUGACAUCAACGGGUCCAAACUAAAAAAUAUGUCGCAGGACGGGCUGACUAUGAUGUCCAGGACCGGUGUUUGUAAAGGAGGAUGGCUCGCACCGGCUCCACAAAGUGAUGCUCAUUGAAGGAUGCAAGAGAGCGCCACACAGGCGAGACAGACAGAUGCACUGGAGGCUGAGCUCUCUAUCAUGGCUGUCUCCAGGAUGUAGUGCUGUCUGCUAUCCAGUUAUGGCUGAGGUCCUCUUGUUCCUCCGUCUCAUCUAUCUCUAUCCCUGCAGCUCCUGGCUAUCUUCACCCUCUAUGGCUCCUUCAUGAUGGCCCCCUAAUCUCUGCCAGUGUGGUUCCAUGUAUGCAUUGCAGGCGGCUGUGUAAUCAAGCCUGUGAACUCAACAUCUGAAGGAAGGAUUCUGUUUCUGAUCACAUCCCUAUUGAAGUCCAUCCAUUCGCUGAACAUGGAUGUGUUGACACGCCACCAAUUCCUUGGGAAUAAUCCUGUGUUGGAGGUAUCUGGAAGAGGCAAAAAUCCAUCGCCUGUGCAACAACAGAGUUUCCUAUAGUUCCUUUAUUAAAGUGGAAUAUGGCCCGAGAAUAUACCGCGUCCGAGGGGGCCAUGAAUAAUGCCAAGGAGGAGCCCAGGAGGGGACGCCACGCCCUCUCUCCAGCUGUACUGUUUCUCUCUGCCAGCAGCCUGCACAGUGAGGCCAUCAAGCCAUUAAUGAGUCCCAGCACUGAUAAUGAAGCCACAGAGGUGGUCUGAGCAAGUGUGGCAGAGGAGCUGGAGCACAGGAGGAAGGUAGAUUAGGAUAAUUACCUGGCCACGGGGGAACGAUGAGAAAGAUGUCUCGCUACCUGCAGGCCUCGAUCGAAGGAGAAAGUGCAAUAUAAUGAGGUUUCCUCCACAACCCUCGCAUGUGCUGUCCUGUACUGUACGUAUGUGUUUAUAUGUUGUUUAUGUAGCUGUGCUGUAGGGUUUCUCACACAUACUGUACGUAAGUCCUAAAUAUCCACACUCACGGAGACUUUGAAGAGCCUAUGAGGUCAGGUUUUAAAUUAUGGUCUGCACCCACUCCAAGCUUUCUCUCCCCACUCCUGUAAAUCCAUUUUCCACACAAUGCAUUUCAAAUCAAAGCAGCGUCGCCAUACGAGGCCUUAGGAAACAUUUAGCCAUAGUGCAGUACUUUCAUGUAUGAUAGCAUAGCCCCUGUGUGCUUUGAUGUGCUCACUUUUUUUAAUGCUUUAUUAAUAAUAACACACUGGGUCUUUCUCACACCAGCAUCAGCUACUGGUGCUCUUUUCUCCUGAACUACACCCCUCACUCCUUCCAUGCCUCAGCUCCUUCAUCCCUCCCCAGCCCCUGAGCCUUGUCUCAGGAUUGGCCUGUUUGUGUUUGGGAGGGGGAUUAGAGUGAAUGACAUGGGCCUGGAGAUGAAGAGAGUGACAAAGACCUAUCAGAGGGCAGAAAGUACGGAGCGCUGCGUCACCAUUGGUUGCAGUGGAAAUCAGACACGUCUUCAUUUCUUCCAGCCAUCCUCUCGGCAUAGCCCCGCUUUCAUUUCCACGCCCGGGGAGGGAAGCAGGGUGAGAAAGAGAGGGGGGGGGGG